RNA transcript from Onychomys torridus (southern grasshopper mouse), 2167 nucleotides. It is a transcript of the gene named major histocompatibility complex class I-related gene protein, with no coding region annotated. NCBI's taxonomy places the organism in Eukaryota, Metazoa, Chordata, Mammalia, Rodentia, Cricetidae. The transcript has 6 exons. The record is from RefSeq and is a predicted model, not a curated record.
AGUUACCAAAUUUCCCAUGAGCCAGUAGAGUACAGGUUUUCAAAAGACUCAUCAGGGGCCUGUCACCGUCUGACGUAAAAGAAUCCGGAAAGACAAGGACUUUAGUUGGAGUCGAUGAUGCUCCUGUUCCCUCUCCUCACAGUACUCUUGGUGCAGCACAGCCAAGCCCGGACCCACUCUCUGAGAUAUUUUCGUUUGGCUGUUUCGGAUCCUGGUCCUGGAGUCCCUGAAUUUCUCUCUGUUGGGUAUGUGGACUCACAUGCUAUCACUACAUAUGACAGCGUCACUCGAAAGAAGGAGCCAAGGGCUCCAUGGAUGGCAGAGAACCUGGCACCUGAUCACUGGGAGAGGUACACUCAGCUGCUGAGGAGCUGGCAGCAGACAUUCACAGUGGAGCUGAAGCAUCUACAGAGACAUUACAACCACUCAGGGCAAAGAGUGCUUCCAGCCAAGCUCCAUCAUCCGAGAGGCCCCCUGUCUCUGCUUUCACCCAUGCUUCCACAGCUUAUAUGUGUUUCAGGGCUUCACACUUACCAGAGAAUGAUUGGUUGUGAGUUGCUGGAAGAUGGUAGCACCACAGGGUUUCUCCAAUACGCAUAUGACGGGCAAGAUUUCAUCAUCUUCAAUAAAGACACCCUCUCCUGGGUGGCUGUAGAUAAUGUGGCUCACAUCACCAAGCGGGCAUGGGAUGCCAAUCUGCAUGAGUUGCAAUACCAAAAGAACUGGCUGGAAGAGGAGUGCAUUGCCUGGCUGAAGAGGUUCUUGGAGUAUGGAAAAGAUACCCUGGAAAGAACAGAGCCUCCCGUGGUAAGAACGAGUCAGAAGGAAAUUUUCCCAGGGACUUCAACUCUCUUCUGCAGAGCUCAUGGCUUCUACCCACCGGACAUUUCCAUGACGUGGAUGAAAAAUGGGGAAGACAUUGCCCAAGAAGUGGAUUACGGAGCCGUGCUUCCCAGUGGGGAUGGAACCUAUCAAAUGUGGGUGUCCGUGGAUCUGGACCCUCAGAGCAAAGACAUUUAUUCUUGUCAUGUGGAGCACUGUGGCCUCCAAAUGGUUCUCCAGGCCCCUCAGGAAUCAGGAAGCAUUCUUCUAGUGGUGAACUCCAUCUCUGGGACCAUAAUCCUCACCAUUGUCCUGGCUGGAGUUGGUGUUCUGACCUGGAGAAGAAGGUUCCGGCGUGAGAGGCAUGACGGACUGUAAGGGUUACUUGUGGUCCUCCUGCUGUGGCUCCCGAGACUUCUGUUUACUGUGUCUGCCACAGCAAAAAGAAGUCAUCCACCAUCCCACACAAGCCAAUGAGUGCAGUUCUCUCUCUUAGGAGCCAUGAUCUCUGCUCUUAGGCAACCCACAUGUCUGUUGUUGGAAGUCUUGACCACGCUCCUGGCACAAUGGGGAUUAGAGAACUGAGCAUUUGUGAUAAGAAGACCCGAGCUACACAUUUUAUUUUGUUCUUUGGUUCCUAAAAUGCUGCCAGUGUUCAGGCUCUUUAUGGCUUCCUUUAUCACAACCGACUUCAAAUACAGUCUGUCUCAUGACCCAAUACUUCCCAACAUCUUAUUUCUCCAUGGUGAUUUGCAAGUAGAUUACGGAGUCUCAGAGCUGCAAGGAACUUUCUCAUCCUAGCAGGAGAUGUCUUCCUAUAGUGCCAUAGACUUGGCAUCCAGCCUUCACUGGGCACCAUGUGAGGGUACCCUAUUCCACCACAAAACAGUCUUUCUUCUUCAUCUUCUCGCGUGAGAAUGUUUACCAUGUAAGAACGUUGACUGUCAUGGCGAUCAUGACUGUGGAUCUAUAAGCAGGGUUGGACCAGCCCAUGAACAUAGCCACCAGCUUUCUACAACAGCCCGUGAAUGGACCAGCCAUUCAACACAUAUUAUGGCCCAAGGGAAAACAGAAGCAGCCUGCUCAUGGCAGCUCUGCCAGAUAGCUUGGAAUAUCAGAAGUGUGUCUAGCCGGGUCUAUGGCGAUGGCUUCACUUUUACUGCUUCUGUGAGAAAUUAGAACAAAAAUUUAUCAAGCUGAAUGUGCUGGGACUCCUUAUUAUAAGCCAGUGCUCAGGAAGCUGAGGCAGGUGGACUGUAUGUUUGGGGCUAGCUGGAGCUACUCAGUGAAACUCUAUUUAAAACAAACCAAAACCAAACAAAACAACAACAACAACAACAAACAA